GACGAACGCUGGCGGCGUGCCUAAUACAUGCAAGUCGAACGCUUCUUUCCUCCCGAGUGCUUGCACUCAAUUGGAAAGAGGAGUGGCGGACGGGUGAGUAACACGUGGGUAACCUACCCAUCAGAGGGGGAUGACACUUGGAAACAGGUGCUAAUACCGCAUAACAGUUUAUGCCGCAUGGCAUAAGAGUGAAAGGCGCUUUCGGGUGUCGCUGAUGGAUGGACCCGCGGUGCAUUAGCUAGUUGGUGAGGUAACGGCUCACCAAGGCCACGAUGCAUAGCGGACCUGAGAGGGGGAUCGGCCACACGGGGACGGAGACACGGCCCAGACUCCUACGGGAGGCAGCAGUAGGGAAUCUUCGGCAAUGGACGAAAGUCUGACCGAGCAACGCCGCGUGGGUGAAGAAGGUUUUCGGAUCGUAAAACUCUGUUGUUAGAGAAGAACAAGGACGUUAGUAACUGAACGUCCCCUGACGGUAUCUAACCAGAAAGCCACGGCUAACUACGUG
Molecule: ribosomal RNA, 508 nt
Filed under: uncultured bacterium
Lineage: Bacteria
Description: partial 16S ribosomal RNA
Rfam family: Bacterial small subunit ribosomal RNA
Source: RNAcentral